Molecule: ribosomal RNA, 439 nt
Filed under: uncultured bacterium
Lineage: Bacteria
Description: partial 16S ribosomal RNA
Rfam family: Bacterial small subunit ribosomal RNA
Source: RNAcentral
CUACGGGUGGCUGCAGUGGGGAAUAUUGGACAAUGGGCGCAAGCCUGAUCCAGCAAUGCCGCGUGAGUGAAGACGGCCUUAGGGUUGUAAAACUCUUUCGCUAGGGGAGAUAAUGACUGUACCUAGUAAAGAAGUCCCGGCUAACUCCGUGCCAGCAGCCGCGGUAAUACGGAGGGGACUAGCGUUGUUCGGAAUUACUGGGCGUAAAGAGUUCGUAGGCGGACUGACAAGUUAGAGGUGAAAUCCCAGGGCUCAACCCUGGAACUGCCUUUAAAACUGUCAGUCUAGAGACCGGAAGAGGUUAGGGGAAUACCUAGUGUAGAGGUGAAAUUCGUAGAUAUUAGGUGGAACACCAGUGGCGAAGGCGCCUAACUGGUCCGGUACUGACGCUGAGGAACGAAAGCGUGGGGAGCAAACAGGAUUAGAUACCCUCGUAGUC